GAGUAAUACGUGAGUAACCUGCCCUUGACUCUGGGAUAAGCCCGGGAAACUGGGUCUAAUACUGGAUGCUACAUGUCACCGCAUGGUGGUGUGUGGAAAGGGUUUACUGGUCUUGGAUGGGCUCACGGCCUAUCAGCUUGUUGGUGAGGUAAUGGCUCACCAAGGCGACGACGGGUAGCCGGCCUGAGAGGGUGACCGGCCACACUGGGACUGAGACACGGCCCAGACUCCUACGGGAGGCAGCAGUGGGGAAUAUUGCACAAUGGGCGAAAGCCUGAUGCAGCGACGCCGCGUGAGGGAUGACGGCCUUCGGGUUGUAAACCUCUUUCAGCAGGGAAGAAGCCACAAGUGACGGUACCUGCAGAAGAAGCGCCGGCUAACUACGUGCCAGCAGCCGCGGUAAUACGUAGGGCGCAAGCGUUGUCCGGAAUUAUUGGGCGUAAAGAGCUCGUAGGCGGUUUGUCGCGUCUGCUGUGAAAGCCCGGGGCUUAACCCCGGGUGUGCAGUGGGUACGGGCAGACUAGAGUGCAGUAGGGGAGACUGGAAUUCCUGGUGUAGCGGUGGAAUGCGCAGAUAUCAGGAGGAACACCGAUGGCGAAGGCAGGUCUCUGGGCUGUUACUGACGCUGAGGAGCGAAAGCAUGGGGAGCGAACAGGAUUAGAUACCCUGGUAGUCCAUGCCGUAAACGUUUGGGCACUAGGUGUGGGGGGACAUUCCACGUUUUUCCGCGCCCGUA
RNAcentral lists this ribosomal RNA (736 nucleotides) under Kocuria palustris. RNAcentral describes it as "bacterial SSU rRNA". It matches the Rfam family "Bacterial small subunit ribosomal RNA", at positions 108 to 851 of the family's 1533-position model. Lineage: Bacteria; Bacillati; Actinomycetota; Actinomycetes; Micrococcales; Micrococcaceae. The record is from RNAcentral.